This 165-nucleotide ribosomal RNA is filed under the name uncultured bacterium. Its description in RNAcentral is "partial 16S rRNA". It matches the Rfam family "Bacterial small subunit ribosomal RNA", at positions 355 to 511 of the family's 1533-position model. The record is from RNAcentral.
UAGGGAAUCUUCGGCAAUGGACGAAAGUCUGACCGAGCAACGCCGCGUGAAUGAAGAAGGUUUUCGGAUCGUAAAACUCUGUUGGUAGAGAAGAACGUUGGUGAGAGUGGAAAGCUCAUCAAGUGACGGUAACUACCCAGAAAGGGACCGCUAACUACGUGCCAG